GACAGAGGGGGCAAGCGUUGCUCGGAAUUACUGGGCGUAAAGGGCGCGUAGGCGGUCCGAUAAGUCCCGUGUGAAAUCCCUCGGCUCAACUGAGGAAUGGCACGGGAAACUGACGGGCUUGAGUUCGGGAGAGGGAAGCGGAAUUCCGGGUGUAGCGGUGAAAUGCGUAGAUAUCCGGAGGAACACCGGUGGCGAAGGCGGCUUCCUGGACCGACACUGACGCUGAGGCGCGAAAGCUAGGGGAGCAAACGGG
Molecule: ribosomal RNA, 253 nt
Filed under: uncultured bacterium
Lineage: Bacteria
Description: partial 16S ribosomal RNA
Rfam family: Bacterial small subunit ribosomal RNA
Source: RNAcentral